This 253-nucleotide ribosomal RNA is filed under the name uncultured bacterium. RNAcentral's name for it is "partial 16S ribosomal RNA". It matches the Rfam family "Archaeal small subunit ribosomal RNA", at positions 474 to 727 of the family's 1478-position model. The record is from RNAcentral.
UACCGGCACCCCGAGUGGUCGGGACGAUUAUUGGGCCUAAAGCAUCCGUAGCCGGUUCUACAAGUCUUCCGUUAAAUCCACCUGCUUAACAGAUGGGCUGCGGAGGAUACUAUAGAGCUAGGAGGCGGGAGAGGCAAGCGGUACUUAGUGGGUAGGGGUAAAAUCCGUUGAUCCAUUGAAGACCACCAGUGGCGAAGGCGGCUUGCCAGAACGCACUCGACGGUGAGGGAUGAAAGCGUGGGGAGCAAACAGG